Trachymyrmex septentrionalis is the source of this 1556-nucleotide RNA transcript. It is a transcript of the gene named activator of basal transcription 1-like, with no coding region annotated. The transcript is spliced from 5 exons. The record is from RefSeq and is a predicted model, not a curated record. NCBI's taxonomy places the organism in Eukaryota, Metazoa, Arthropoda, Insecta, Hymenoptera, Formicidae.
ACAAAGUCGUGAAGCGCGUGGAGGCCAUUUUGUUAUUCUUAAUCAUUCUUAGCUUGGUCAGUCUAUAGCGAAGACGAAUAGUGUGAACGGAGUUCGUGCUAAUUAACAAUAUUCGUUGUGUAAUUAAUCUUGGCGAUAUCAAAUCCAGAUGCUAUUAAUCAAAGAAAUUAUUUAAUUAAUCUUGAAUAACUCAAAAAUGCUUCAAGAAAAUUCGAACGAGAGCAACGAAGACAACCAUGCAAUGGAUUGCGAUACAGACGAGUCGGCACAAAUUCAAAAGAAAAUCAAGAAGAAAGUUAAAAACGUUAAAAGAGGAAUAAUCUAUCUGUCCACAAUUCCGAAAUAUAUGAACAUCACGAUGAUCCGAGAGAUGUUUUCUGCUUAUGGGAAAGUGGGCAGAGUGUAUCUGCAGCUAGUCGACAAUGAGACACAAUCAGUGAAACAUAAAAAGAAAACCAAGAAAGUAAUCAAGCAUUUUACUGAAGGUUGGAUAGAAUUUGAAAGUAAAAAAGUAGCAAAAUUUGUAGCAGAAACGUUAAACAAUACUCAAGUAUCCACGAGAAAGAAAAGCAAAUUCUACGAUGUUAUGUGGAAUAUAAAGUAUUUGCCUAGAUUUAAAUGGAUUCAUUUGAGUGAACGAUUAGCAUAUGAACGUGCAGUUCAUAAGCAAAGACUUCUAACAGAGAUAGCGCAAGCUAAGAGAGAAAUUAACUUCUUCUCAUAUAAUGUAGACAGAAGUAAAAAGCUGCAUAGGAAACAUGAACAAGGGGAGGAGACGACGUUUGAAUUGUCUGAAGUUAAGCAAAGGGAUACUGAUAAUGAAAUAAGGAAUAAGAAAGCAAAUACGCAAGUAGAAGAUAGAACAGAAUUCCUUAAAUCAAUAUUUGGAUAAAAUUUUUUAAAAUAAAACUGUAUAGAAGAAAAUUAUGGAAAUAGCAUUCAAUAAGCAAAAAAAUGUUUAUAAAAGAGGCGGGCAUAGUUCAUUAUUGAUGAAAAACUCAAGAAAUUGUGUUAGAUGAAGCGAUUGUUGUACUAAGCUAACAGCGAUGUCCACGGCGUUGAUGUUAUCUACAACAAAUAUGAACGUGAUUAAAAUAGGAGGUCGAAGCAAAAGGCGUAUCCAUACCAUCAUUAUCUUCACAUGUUAAUUCCGGUGACGGUACGGAGAUACUACGAUUGACAGUGCGGUCUGAUAUGAAAACGUUUGAUGUAUCAAUAGAUGCUGAUAUGCGGCAUUCAUAAUUUUUUUAAGUUGAUUUUUUAAUAUAAUUUUAUAUACUUACUGGCCGCAGUCGUAUGAAAUUGUAUAUGCGCACGACCCGACAGUUCCCUUGGUUAUUAGCUUCUGAUUUUCGAAAAAGUUCCAAUAAACGAAGUUCGAAAUUGAGCUUCAGAAUCUAAUCGAGAAUUAAUGUUUGCACCUUUAUGAAACGACAGAUUUCUUUGUCCAUUAAUGGAAGCUGGAACAUUACGUUCUUGAUAGUGAGAUAGGCAAGUUUACACGAGUUACUAGAAUGUUCUUUGUGCAUUAAUAACAGUAAAAAGGAAAAUGUAUG